This 469-nucleotide ribosomal RNA is filed under the name uncultured Arthrobacter sp. Its description in RNAcentral is "bacterial SSU rRNA". It matches the Rfam family "Bacterial small subunit ribosomal RNA", at positions 30 to 514 of the family's 1533-position model. Lineage: Bacteria; Bacillati; Actinomycetota; Actinomycetes; Micrococcales; Micrococcaceae. The record is from RNAcentral.
CGAACGCUGGCGGCGUGCUUAACACAUGCAAGUCGAACGAUGAAGUUCCUUCGGGAAUGGAUUAGUGGCGAACGGGUGAGUAACACGUGAGUAACCUGCCCUUGACUCUGGGAUAAGCCUGGGAAACUGGGUCUAAUACCGGAUACGACCAUUCCACGCAUGUGGUGGUGGUGGAAAGCUUUUGUGGUUUUGGAUGGACUCGCGGCCUAUCAGCUUGUUGGUGGGGUAAUGGCCUACCAAGGCGACGACGGGUAGCCGGCCUGAGAGGGUGACCGGCCACACUGGGACUGAGACACGGUCCAGACUCCUACGGGAGGCAGCAGUGGGGAAUAUUGCACAAUGGGCGCAAGCCUGAUGCAGCGACGCCGCGUGAGGGAUGACGGCCUUCGGUUGUAAACCUCUUUCAGUAGGAAGAAGCGUAAGUGACGGUACCUGCAGAAGAAGCGCCGGCGUAACUACACGCCAGCCG